GAUGAACGCUGGCGGCGUGCUUAACACAUGCAAGUCGAACGGAAAGGCUCCUGCUUGCAGGGGUACUCGAGUGGCGAACGGGUGAGUAACACGUGGGUGAUCUGCCCUGCACUUCGGGAUAAGCCUGGGAAACUGGGUCUAAUACCGGAUAGGACGAUGGUUUGGAUGCCAUUGUGGAAAGUUUUUCGGUGUGGGAUGAGCUCGCGGCCUAUCAGCUUGUUGGUGGGGUAAUGGCCUACCAAGGCGGAGACGGGUAGCCGGCCUGAGAGGGUGUACGGCCACAUUGGGACAGAGAUACGGCCCAGACGCCUACGGGAGGCAGCAGUGGGGAAUAUUGCACAAUGGGCGCAAGCCUGAUGCAGCGACGCCGCGUGGGGGAUGACGGCCUUCGGGUUGUAAACUCCUUUCGCUAGGGACGAAGCGUUUUGUGACGGUACCUGGAGAAGAAGCACCGGCUAACUACGUG
This 466-nucleotide ribosomal RNA is filed under the name uncultured bacterium. Its description in RNAcentral is "partial 16S ribosomal RNA". It matches the Rfam family "Bacterial small subunit ribosomal RNA", at positions 28 to 507 of the family's 1533-position model. The record is from RNAcentral.